CGACUGAAUUCGAAAACGUACGUUUCCUCGUGAGAUCAGGUUCUAUAGUUAUUGUUUUUUAUUAAUAUUAAUGUUAUGUCACUUGCUUAUCAUGAUUUUUUAAAAUAAAUUUAUUACCAUUGGCAACGCAAACAUUUGCCUCAUGUCCGCGUGCGCGCGCCUCCGCUAAACGAUUUCAAACCGAAGGACUCGAGGAUUGGGCCAGAAAGCAGUCCAGAAUGAUCAAAGAUGGAAAAUGAAAGCUCUCCAAGAGCUCGUCAGAUGUGCUGAGUCUGCUUACCCGUGCAAGGCUUCGAGUGCAGCCCACAUGAUCCUGGAGUUUGCAUGAAGCUUCCUCAACCAGAACCGAUGUCAUUUAAAUCCAGUUAAAUGAAUGACCCCAUAAAUUUUCUCCAAUAAUAAGCGGGA
This 408-nucleotide long non-coding RNA is filed under the name Danio rerio (zebrafish). RNAcentral describes it as "lncRNA linc.6269 (ENSDARG00000097882.3)". The record is from RNAcentral. Lineage: Eukaryota; Metazoa; Chordata; Actinopteri; Cypriniformes; Danionidae.